Molecule: non-coding RNA, 23 nt
Filed under: Drosophila melanogaster (fruit fly)
Lineage: Eukaryota; Metazoa; Arthropoda; Insecta; Diptera; Drosophilidae
Source: RNAcentral
UUGGAGUAGGAUCUUCAAUUUUC